Triticum aestivum (bread wheat) is the source of this 135-nucleotide non-coding RNA. Lineage: Eukaryota; Viridiplantae; Streptophyta; Magnoliopsida; Poales; Poaceae. The record is from Rfam.
CAUGUACUCCCUCCGUCCGGAAAUACUUGUCAUCAAAAUGAAUAAAAGAAGAUGUAUCUAGAUGUAUUUUAGUUCUAGAUACAUCCCUUUUUAUCCAUUUUGAUGACAAGUAUUUUCGGAUGGAGGGAGUACCAU